This 406-nucleotide ribosomal RNA is filed under the name uncultured bacterium. RNAcentral describes it as "partial 16S ribosomal RNA". It matches the Rfam family "Bacterial small subunit ribosomal RNA", at positions 30 to 526 of the family's 1533-position model. The record is from RNAcentral.
AUUGAACGCUGGCGGCAGGCCUAACACAUGCAAGUCGAACGAGUGGCGGACGGGUGAGUCAUUUCUGGGAACCUGCCUGAUGGAGGGGGAUAACUACUGGCACCGGUAGCUACUACCGCAUACCAUCAGAUUUGCCCAGAUGGGAUUAGCUAGUUGGUGGGGUAACGGCUCACCAAGGCGACGAUCCCUAGCUGGGCUGAGAGGAUGACCAGCCACACUGGAACUGAGACACGGUCCAGACUCCUACGGGAGGCAGCAGUGGGGAAUAUUGCACAAUGGGCGAAAGCCUGAUGCAGCCAUGCCGCGUGUAUGAAGAAGGCCUUCGGGUUGUAAAGGACUUUCAGCGGGGAGGCGUUACCCGCAGAAGAAGCACCGGCUAACUCCGUGCCAGCAGCCGCGGUAAUUC